GGGAAUCUACCUUUUGCUACGGGAUAGCUCCGGGAAACUGGAAUUAAUACCGUAUGUGCCCUUCGGGGGAAAGAUUUAUCGGCAAAGGAUGAGCCCGCGUUGGAUUAGCUAGUUGGUGGGGUAAAGGCCUACCAAGGCGACGAUCAGUAGCUGGUCUGAGAGGAUGAUCAGCCACACUGGGACUGAGACACGGCCCAGACUCCUACGGGAGGCAGCAGUGGGGAAUAUUGGACAAUGGGCGCAAGCCUGAUCCAGCCAUGCCGCGUGAGUGAUGAAGGCCUUAGGGUUGUAAAGCUCUUUUGUCCGGGACGAUAAUGACGGUACCGGAAGAAUAAGCCCCGGCUAACUUCGUGCCAGCAGCCGCGGUAAUACGAAGGGGGCUAGCGUUGCUCGGAAUCACUGGGCGUAAAGGGCGCGUAGGCGGCCGAUUAAGUCGGGGGUGAAAGCCUGUGGCUCAACCACAGAAUUGCCUUCGAUACUGGUUGGCUUGAGACCGGAAGAGGACAGCGGAACUGCGAGU
This 520-nucleotide ribosomal RNA is filed under the name uncultured bacterium. RNAcentral's name for it is "bacterial SSU rRNA". It matches the Rfam family "Bacterial small subunit ribosomal RNA", at positions 120 to 674 of the family's 1533-position model. The record is from RNAcentral.